RNAcentral lists this ribosomal RNA (492 nucleotides) under uncultured bacterium. RNAcentral's name for it is "partial 16S ribosomal RNA". It matches the Rfam family "Bacterial small subunit ribosomal RNA", at positions 29 to 507 of the family's 1533-position model. The record is from RNAcentral.
AGUGAACGCUGGCGGUAGGCCUAACACAUGCAAGUCGAACGGCAGCACAGUAAGAGCUUGCUCUUACGGGUGGCGAGUGGCGGACGUGUGAGGAAUACAUCGGAAUCUACUUUUUCUUGGGGGAUAACGUAGGGACACUUACGCUAAUACCGCAUACUCCCUACGGGUGAAAGCAGGUGAUCUUCGGACCUUUUGCGAUUUAAUGAGCCGAUGUCGGAUUAGCUAGUUGGCGGGGUAAAGGCCCACCAAGGCGACGAUCCGUAGAUGGUCUGAGAGGAUGAUCAGCCACACUGGAACUGAGACACGGUCCAGACUCCUACGGGAGGCAGCAGUGGGGAAUAUUGGACAAUGGGCGCAAGCCUGAUCCAGCCAUACCGCGUGGGUGAAGAAGGCCUUCGGGUUGUAAAGCCCUUUUGUUGGGAAAGAAAAGCAGCAGGUUAAUACCCCGCUGUUCUGACGGUACCCAAAGAAUAAGCACCGGCUAACUUCGUG